UCCCAGAGAUGUGACACAAUUGACAAGGU
RNAcentral lists this non-coding RNA (29 nucleotides) under Mus musculus (house mouse). The record is from RNAcentral. Lineage: Eukaryota; Metazoa; Chordata; Mammalia; Rodentia; Muridae.